Molecule: RNA transcript, 3254 nt
Organism: Dunckerocampus dactyliophorus (ringed pipefish)
Lineage: Eukaryota; Metazoa; Chordata; Actinopteri; Syngnathiformes; Syngnathidae
Gene name: sorting nexin-14-like
Exons: 27
Source: RefSeq, a predicted model, not a curated record
CAGGAUUCAAUCACAUCUGGCAACCCAACAAGGAUCCGUAAACAAAUGAGCUGUCAAAGAAGUCGCUGUUAAAAGUUUACAUGACUUCAAAGUUUUUCUAUAAAGUCACUCGGUGAAGUUGAGGGGCGGCAAUGUUGCAAGUCUUGGCGAUGAUUUGUGUUAUUUUGCGACGAUAGUACUUUCAUCGCUGUAAGUGUAGUAAGCCGUUAGCUAGCUAGCUCGAAUCUAAACGGAGCGCGACGUAUUUUUCAAACUUUCAACUUCCUCCGUCCUCGCAGCAAACAUUGUAAAGUAUGUGAAAUGUUUUGCAGUUUUAGGUCGCGUAAGGAUGGCGGGGGGUGUUAUUGCGACUUUAAAGCAAACACUGAGGUUGGACGUCGUGAGUAAAGCAGGACGUCAAUAUCCAGUCUUCUGCUGUCUGCUGGUCUUCAUGAUGGGCCUCACCCUGCUGCUCAGCAGGUACAUCCACAUCCUGAUGGGCUUCUGGUCCUUCCUGGCGGGUGUCAUCACAUUUUACUGUGCUCUGGAGCCAGACUCCCUGCUGCCAAAUGUCUUCUUCAGCAGGAAAGCGAGACACACACAUCAGGAACAAGAGUUGUUUCCUUCGGGUCACAGCUGUGCCGUGUGUGGAAAGGUGAAAUGCAAGCGUCACCGGCCCACGUUGCUGCUGGAGAACUACCAGCCGUGGUUGGGCCUGAAGGUUCAUUCCAAGGUGGACUCGUCCAUAGCAGAGGUCUUUGAGCUCGUUCUGGAGAACUUUGUGUACCCGUGGUAUCGGGACAUCACGGAUGACGAGGCAUGCGUUGACGAACUCCGCAUGACCUUUCGCUUCUUUGCAUCCGUCUUCGUCCGCCGAGCUCAAAAGGUGGAUGUACUCGCUGUGUUUGCAGACAAAGUAAUGAAGGCUGCAGUCAAGCAUGUGGAGAUUCUGGCUAAAGCUCAAGCUAAAGUCCAUCAAGGUCACACGCUGCAGCAGGCGUCUCUGGAGGAGUACGGUGCCGACCUCCACGUGGCCGUGCGCAGCCGGAAGAAUGAGCUGUUGUACCUCAGGAAGCUGAGCGAGAUGCUGUUCCCGUACUUGAUGCCGCCGAAAGCAACAGAGUGCAGGUCUCUGGCGCUGCUGCUGAGGGAGGUCAUGGCCGGCUCCGUCAUCCUUCCCACCAUGGACUUCAUGGCUGACCCGGACACAGUCAACUUGAUGGUGCUGAAAUUUGUCGACAACACUCCACCAGAAGCUGCCACAGAAGCUCCGUCAGCUCUGGUUCCGUUCCUGCACAAAUAUGCCGCCUGCAGCCACAAGAAGCCCUCGGUGCUCAAGCUGGGGCUGAAGGAGAUCAGGGAGCAGCAGGACCUUCUCUUCCGCUUUAUGAACUUCCUGAAGCAGGAGGGCGCCGUGCACGUGCUGCAGUUCUGCCUAGCCGUAGAGGAGCUCAACGACAAGAUCCUGAGCCCGGAGCUGUGCGACUCGGAGCUGCGGCGUCUGCACGGUGAGGUUGUGCACAUCUACGAGACGUACUGCCUGGACGAGAGCAUGGACAAGAUCAACUUGGACUGCUUCAUCGUGGACGAGAUAAAGAACGUGGCUGCAGGUCCGUACGGCGCCGUGGUCAAGCUGCAGACCAUGCGCUGUCUCUUUGAGGCCUACGAACACGUCCUGUCUCUUCUGGAGAACGUAUUCACGCCCAUGUUCUGUCACAGCGACGAGUACUUCAGACACCUGCUGAAAGGAGCUGAGUCACCAGCAAGGAGCUCACGAGUCAGCAGGAACACUUCCAAGCGAGGGGAGUCGUUCGGGAUCAGCAGGAUUGGCAGCAAACUCAAAGGUGUGUUCAAGAGCACCACCAUGGAAGGCGCCAUCUUACCGCCCAGUGCCAUGGCCGACGUCGAUGACGACAUAGUGGAGGAGGCCGUGGUGGUGAUGGAGGACGACUCUCCCGCUGAGCUGGCCUGCACACCGGGAAGUCUGAGGAACCUUUCGGCCUGGACCAUCACCAUCCCGUACAUCGACUUCUACGAGGAUGAGGCCAAGAGGGAGAGGAUUCCCGUUUUCUGCAUCGAUGUGGAGCGCAACGACAGGAGGGAAGUGGGUCAUGAUCCAGAGAAGUGGUCGGUCUACAGAAGAUACAUGGAGUUCUACGUGCUGGAGUCCAAGCUCACAGAGUUUCACGGCACCUUUGCGGAGGCGCAGCUUCCUCCAAAACGCAUCCUGGGACCAAAGAAUCAUGACUUCCUGGCCUCCAAGAGGGAGGAGUUUGAGGAGUAUUUACAGAGACUCCUGCAGUACACAGAGCUCAGCAACAGUCAGCUGCUGGCUGACUUCCUGUCUCCUCAUAGUGUGGAGUCCCAAUUUGUGGACAGGAUGCUGCCUGAUGUCAACUUGGGGAAGAUCUUCAAGUCUGUUCCUGGAAAGUUGAUAAAAGAGAAAGGUCAAAACCUGGAGCCUUUCAUCCAGUCCUUCUUCAACUCAUGCGAGUCUCCCAAAGCCAAACCCAGCCGUCCCGAGCUGACCAUCCUUAGUCCCGGCGCCGAUGCCAACAAGCGGCUCCUCAACCGGCUCUUCAGGAACAAUGCCAACAUGCCGUCUGGCACCGAGAGGCGACACAACCACAGCUGCUUCCUGGGGGCGGUUGGCGUUGAGGGAAUGUACGACUACAUGAUGCACGUUGGUCGACUGGCGUUCCGCAUGCCGCUAUGGUUGCAUCACUUCCUGUCAGCCGGCAGGAUCCUUUUAAAGAACACCUUUGAGGCGUACAUGGAGCAACACAUGCAGUCCAAGUUGGAUGAGAUCAUGCAGGAGCACCGCCUGGUCUCACUCAUAACGCAGCUCCGAGGUCAGGUCUAUCAUCUUUUACUCCAUCUUUUAGACUUCCCGUUCUAAACAUGCUCGCCACACGUGUUCCGCCAGACGCAAUCUUCUGUGAGAGCAGCGAGGAGCGAAGCAGUCUGGACAAGCAGGCCAGAGCCAAGCAGACCUUUGAGCAGAUGAUGGACUAUCUGCCUGACAUGGUUGAUAAGUGUAUUGGCGAGGAGGCCAAGCACGACGGAAUCCAACUUCUCUUUGAGGGUCUACAGCAGCCACUCCUCAACAAGCAGAUGUCGUACGUCCUGCUGGACAUCGCCCUGCUGGAGCUCUUUCCUGAACUUGAGCGCUGAAGGACGUAGUCAUGGAAACCAAGCAAACAAACUGAAUCCACAUCCUGGGUGAGAAAAGUGCAAUACUUAGGAAAGCAUUCCAAAUAAAAUAUUUGUGAGCA